Molecule: unclassified non-coding RNA, 359 nt
Filed under: fungal sp.
Lineage: Eukaryota; Fungi
Description: partial internal transcribed spacer region
Rfam family: Eukaryotic small subunit ribosomal RNA (bases 1-46)
Source: RNAcentral
AAGUCGUAACAAGGUUUCCGUAGGUGAACCUGCGGAAGGAUCAUUAACACUCCAAAACUUCUCAUAGCUCUGGGAAACCAGAGUUUAUGAAACCCUAUUCACCAUUAGCGAACCCGGCUAGGUGAGAAAAGUUUGAGGCUUCGCGGCUUCUAUUUCUCAUCUUUAGCUAUUUUCUUUUGUCCAUUUUUUUUCAAUUUUUAACCCCAAUCAUCAUAACUUUUAUUUGUCUGAUUGGAAGACGUAACACCUCUUCCGUUGCUCUUCGCUCUAACCAGCGAAGGCAAUGAAAACUACCAAAAACUACCAAAAACUAAAAAAAAACUAAAAAACAACUCUUAGCAACGGAUAUCUUGGUUCUC